Molecule: ribosomal RNA, 227 nt
Filed under: uncultured bacterium
Lineage: Bacteria
Description: partial 16S ribosomal RNA
Rfam family: Bacterial small subunit ribosomal RNA
Source: RNAcentral
GUAACGCGUAUGCAACCUACCUUAUACUGGGGGAUAGCCCGAAGAAAUUCGGAUUAACACCCCAUAGUAUUCUAAGAUGGCAUCAUUUUAGAAUUAAAGAUUACGGUAUAAGAUGGGCAUGCGUCCUAUUAGCUAGAUGGUAAGGUAACGGCUUACCAUGGCUACGAUAGGUAGGGGGCCUGAGAGGGUGAUCCCCCACACUGGUACUGAGACACGGACCAGACUCC